UACUAAAUUAAUUAAAGAACCAUAUGCAUGAGAUAAUUGAUAAGUACACACACAUUUUCCCCUCCCUGUUAACAACAGAGUAUCUGCACCCACUUGAAUCAAGAUAACAUAAUCUAUACUACAACGUAACCUUCCCCCUGCAAUCACAUUAUUAUCGCAUGUAAAUAUAUAUAUGGAUCACUAGUUCUAGUUUUAUCGAUAUAUACUUUGGUAAACUACAUAUAUAAAUUAAGUUGUGGGUGACACUGACAUCCAUCAUCUCUCUUUCUCUCCCCCCAUUAUAAAUAGGGAAGUCAUCUCCUUGAAGCUAGCUGGCCUAAGCUAACUCAAUCAAACCUCCCUAGCUUGGCAGAAUAGUUAAUGUUAAUCACCUGAUUAAAAUUAGAUUAGUCCCCUCCUACCCAGCUAACUACUGCUUCUAUUUCACGGAGAAAAAUGUCUUCCUAGGCUUUCUCUUUCAGCUCGAUCGAUCCACAGCUCAGCUAGCUCUCUCUCUCUCUAGCGACAAGCAAGCAUGGAGCAGCUGUUCGUCGACGACCCAGCCUUCGCGAGCAGCAUGUCGUCGCUUGAGGCGGACAUCUUCUCCGGCGCCGGCCAGCUGCCGUCCUCGCCGUGGCUGGACCUAGACCUCGACGACGAUGUCCAAGACCUCUCCAUGGCGCCGACGACGGCGAACGCGGUGUCCUCCGGCUACGGCUCCGGCGGAUCCGGCUCCCACAGGAAGCUCAGCCACAACGCCUACGAGCGCGACCGCCGGAAGCAGCUCAACGAGCUCUACUCCUCCCUCCGCGCUCUCCUCCCCGACGCCGAUCACACUAAGAAGCUGAGCAUCCCGACGACGGUGUCUCGCGUGCUCAAGUACAUACCCGAGCUGCAGAAGCAGGUGGAGAAUCUGGAGAGGAAGAAGAAGGAGCUGACGACGACGAGCACCACCAACUGCAAACCAGGAGUGUUGGGGAGCCAGCUGAUGAGCGAGGGCAUGGCUCCCAUCGUUUCGGCUACCUGCAUCAAUGACAUGGAGAUCAUGGUUCAGGUCAGCUUGUUGAGCAAUGUGGCGGGUUCAGUUCUUCCUCUCUCCAAGUGUAUCAAAGUACUGGAGAACGAAGGUCUUCACUUCAUCAGUUCAUCGACUUCCUCCGGAUUUGGGAACAGGACAUUCUACAGUAUCCAUCUUCAGAGAAGUGAAGGAACGAUCAACGAGGAGUGCCCAGCAUUUUGUGAAAGGUUGGAGAAAGUCGUCAGGAACAAAGCAAAGCUUUAAGCACUAGUACCGCGCGCGCGUGCCUAUGAUAAUCCUGAAUUAAUCAAGGGCCAAAAUCUAGUAUGUACUAGCAGAAGUAAAUGUACUUGCGCGCUCUGUACUAGCAACCAGGAGCAAGCUGAUCGUACUCACAUGCAACAAGUUUGUGGAUAAGGCGUACUCCUACGUUUUUGCAGUUAAUUAACAUAAAUAGGGCGAGAGAGGAGGAUUAGUGUAAUUAUAUAUGCAAAGACUAAAGACCUUUCCUGCAAAUAUUUCUGAGGAUGUCGAAGGUGUUAUCAAAAAGUGUCUUUUCCAUUGCAAUUCCAGACUAGGCACAAAUUAAAUUUCGUAGGCUUUGGGGGCUUUCUGCGUGUUAUGAGGACCAAUAAUGAGGUCUCAUCCUAGCUAAUUUGCUGAAAUCGGCCGAGAUCUUAUAGCAGACCAUAUGGACCGCAUCAUAGCAUGAACUAUGCUUAGGUUUGGCUCUUACUUUAACCGGGUAAAGAGUUGAAUCGUACCAAACAUGUCACGAGCCACAUCCAAAUUUGAUUUUUUUUUCGCAAACGUGCAAAAAAAUUGCACGUCAAUAUAUUAGAAGAAGAGAGCAUAGUUUAAUUACACAACACACACGGUCAGAAGGCCGUUGCCAGGGGUCAAAGAAAAAAAGAAAAAAAACAGAUAAGCUACUAAGAAAGUAAAAACUCAUAUCGCAAGAGAGGGUGGGGUAGGGGGUCCUACUACACUCUGGCCUGCGCCAGAGGCAGCGAGUCGGAGAAGAGAGAAGAGAAGGUCAUUGCGUGAUCUGGAGGGAGGGGUUGAGAGAAGAGGCCGUUGUAAGCCGCAACAGCCUCAGUUGACACAGGACCCUUCUCAGACACCAUUCCAAGCUUGCGCUUCAGAUUGUGCUAGGCGCGUGAGGUCAUGUCACUCGGGCAGGCGAGCGCGAGCUUGGCCGCAAUCCUCUUGCUACUUUUCGGCACUUCUUCCACGGUGGCAUGCAAUUCGUGGAUCCGGUGGCACUAAUACAGUUUUGAGAUUUCGUGGAUGAUUUCAUCUAAAUGAAGUCCAGGAUCUGGUGGCGAUUCUAUCUAUAUUGAAGUCCAUGACAUUUAUACUCUCUUUGUUUCAGACUAUAAAUUCAUUUUGACUUUAGUCAAAGUCAAACUACUUUAAGUUUAGUUAAGUUUAUAAAGAGAUAUAGUACUCAUAUUUACAGCACCAAAUUAGUUUCAUUAAAUCAAUAAUUGAAUAUAUUUAUCUUGGGCUAAAAUGUUACUAUUUUUUCAUUAAACUUAAUUAAACUUAAAACAAUUUAACUUUGACAAAAACCACAAUGACUUAUAGUCUGAAAUGGAGGAAGUAUCGUUUAAUUUGAGACUUUGAAUACUUAAUUUACAAAGAAGUGUGUAUUUGUGCCGUGUUUUCUCGCUCUAUAUAUAUCGCAGUUUCACCCAUCUAAUUAGUUGAACAGUGCGUCUUAAUCUCAAUCUCCAUUCGCCAAUUGACUGUACAUGUCUGAAUGGAAUCCUUCUAUGUAUUAUCUGCACAGCUAGAAUCCUACAACUAGCGUAGUGUGGUGGUGGUCGUCUUCGAGUUCGACGCGCCGCCGCCGCCGCUCAUCGCGACGACAAGAGCCUCGCCAGCGUCCGCAGUAGCAGCUUCCUAGUCUUGUUGCACUCCGAGAUCGUCUCCAGCCUCGGCGACCACGGCUGGUUCCUCCGCCCCAUCAGCAGCGCGUAAUGCCGCUUCAGCUCCGGCGUGCUGCACAGCUCCGUCGCCGUCGCCGUCGCCGUCGUCGACGGCUUCCGGCGGCGCGCACCGCCGCCGUUCUCGUCGCAGCUGAUCACCUUCUCGAUGAACUCCGGGAGGACUCGGAUGAGCGUGGCGCCGCCCUCGCCCUUGACGUACUCGAACGGGCACUGCCCCGGCCCAGCCACGGACACCUUCUUCGACGGCGCCGGCGACAGCGACGCGAGCGCCGCGGCGGUGAGCACCUUGAAGCAGGAGAAGCGCUCGGCGGGGAGGACGAAGUACGUCCGCCCCGCCAUCAGCUCCUCGCCGGCGGACACCACCGGGAUCGGGAGGCCGACGUAGAAGGAGUCGGCCGCGCAGACGACGUGGUCACCGGGGAGCUCCGCCGUGACGUCCCCCGCCACGGCGCACACCCCGCCAUCGUCGUCCAGCAUCCUCGUCUGCCCGCCCCAGUACACCAGCUUCACCCCCGCCGCCGCCGUCGCCGGCAGGUGCAUGCACGGGGAGAGGCCGUUGCCCAUGGCAACUGAUGUGUCUAGAACCUUCUAGAACGAGCUCGAGCUUGCAGAUGGAAGAAGAGGAGAAGAGGAGAUGCUUGUGUGAAUU
This is a non-coding RNA of Oryza sativa Japonica Group (Japanese rice), 3601 nucleotides long. The record is from RefSeq and is a predicted model, not a curated record. Lineage: Eukaryota; Viridiplantae; Streptophyta; Magnoliopsida; Poales; Poaceae.